UAGGGAAUCUUCCACAAUGGACGCAAGUCUGAUGGAGCAACGCCGCGUGAGUUGAAGAAGGUCUUCGGAUCGUAAAACUCUGUUGUUAGAGAAGAACACGAGUGAGAGUAACUGUUCAUUCGAUGACGGUAUCUAACCAGCAAGUCACGGCUAACUACGUGCCAG
This 165-nucleotide ribosomal RNA is filed under the name uncultured bacterium. RNAcentral describes it as "partial 16S rRNA". It matches the Rfam family "Bacterial small subunit ribosomal RNA", at positions 355 to 511 of the family's 1533-position model. The record is from RNAcentral.